This 429-nucleotide ribosomal RNA is filed under the name Gemmatimonadota bacterium. RNAcentral describes it as "Gemmatimonadetes bacterium partial 16S ribosomal RNA". It matches the Rfam family "Bacterial small subunit ribosomal RNA", at positions 355 to 776 of the family's 1533-position model. The record is from RNAcentral. Lineage: Bacteria; Pseudomonadati; Gemmatimonadota.
UAGGGAAUCUUCGGCAAUGGACGAAAGUCUGACCGAGCAACGCCGCGUGAGUGAAGAAGGUUUUCGGAUCGUAAAACUCUGUUGUUAGAGAAGAACAAGGACGUUAGUAACUGAACGUCCCCUGACGGUAUCUAACCAGAAAGCCACGGCUAACUACGUGCCAGCAGCCGCGGUAAUACGUAGGUGGCAAGCGUUGUCCGGAUUUAUUGGGCGUAAAGCGAGCGCAGGCGGUUUCUUAAGUCUGAUGUGAAAGCCCCCGGCUCAACCGGGGAGGGUCAUUGGAAACUGGGGGACUUGAGUGCAGAAGAAGAGAGUGGAAUUCCAUGUGUAGCUGUGAAAUGCGUAGAUAUAUGGAGGAACACCAGUGGCGAAGGCGGCUCUCUGGUCUGUAACUGACGCUGAGGCUCGAAAGCGUGGGGAGCAAACAGG